GUCCCUAUAGCUCAAAGGAUAGAGCGCAGCCCUGCGGAGGCUGAAAUCGAGGUUCGACUCCUCGUAGGGACGCCA
This 75-nucleotide transfer RNA is filed under the name Candidatus Portnoybacteria bacterium RIFCSPHIGHO2_02_FULL_39_12. RNAcentral's name for it is "tRNA-Arg". It matches the Rfam family "tRNA". From Rfam's summary of the family: Transfer RNA (tRNA) molecules are approximately 80 nucleotides in length. Their secondary structure includes four short double-helical elements and three loops (D, anti-codon, and T loops). Further hydrogen bonds mediate the characteristic L-shaped molecular structure. tRNAs have two regions of fundamental functional importance: the anti-codon, which is responsible for specific mRNA codon recognition, and the 3' end, to which the tRNAs corresponding amino acid is attached (by aminoacyl-tRNA synthetases). tRNAs cope with the degeneracy of the genetic code in two manners: having more than one tRNA (with a specific anti-codon) for a particular amino acid; and 'wobble' base-pairing, i.e. permitting non-standard base-pairing at the 3rd anti-codon position. Lineage: Bacteria; Candidatus Portnoyibacteriota. RNAcentral also lists the same sequence under 3 other names. The record is from RNAcentral.